UGAGGAAUUUUGCGCAAUGGGGGAAACCCUGACGCAGCAACGCCGCGUGAGUGAAGAAGGCCUUCGGGUCGUAAAGCUCUGUCAAGGGGGAAAAAAUCCUUUCGAUAAAUAGUCAGUAAGGACUGAUGGUACCCCUAGAGGAAGCACCGGCUAACUCCGUGCCAGCAGCCGCGGUAAUACGGAGGGUGCAAGCGUUGUUCGGAAUUACUGGGCGUAAAGAGCGUGUAGGCGGUUUGGCAAGUCAGAUGUGAAAGCCCUGGGCUCAACCCAGGAAGUGCAUUUGAAACUGCCAUCCUAGAGUAUGGGAGAGGAGAGUGGAAUUCCCAGUGUAGAGGUGAAAUUCGUAGAUAUUGGGAGGAACACCCGUGGCGAAGGCGACUCUCUGGACCAAUACUGACGCUGAGACGCGAAAGCGUGGGGAGCAAACA
This 428-nucleotide ribosomal RNA is filed under the name uncultured bacterium. RNAcentral's name for it is "bacterial SSU rRNA". It matches the Rfam family "Bacterial small subunit ribosomal RNA", at positions 355 to 774 of the family's 1533-position model. The record is from RNAcentral.